Molecule: ribosomal RNA, 497 nt
Filed under: uncultured bacterium
Lineage: Bacteria
Description: partial 16S ribosomal RNA
Rfam family: Bacterial small subunit ribosomal RNA
Source: RNAcentral
GAUGAACGCUGGCGGCGUGCCUAAUACAUGCAAGUCGAGCGAACGGACGAGAAGCUUGCUUCUCUGAUGUUAGCGGCGGACGGGUGAGUAACACGUGGAUAACCUACCUAUAAGACUGGGAUAACUUCGGGAAACCGGAGCUAAUACCGGAUAAUAUUUUGAACCGCAUGGUUCAAAAGUGAAAGACGGUCUUGCUGUCACUUAUAGAUGGAUCCGCGCUGCAUUAGCUAGUUGGUAAGGUAACGGCUUACCAAGGCAACGAUGCAUAGCCGACCUGAGAGGGUGAUCGGCCACACUGGAACUGAGACACGGUCCAGACUCCGACGGGAGGCAGCAGUAGGGAAUCUUCCGCAAUGGGCGAAAGCCUGACGGAGCAACGCCGCGUGAGUGAUGAAGGUCUUCGGAUCGUAAAACUCUGUUAUUAGGGAAGUACAUAUGUGUAAGUAACUGUGCACAUCUUGACGGUACCUAAUCAGAAAGCCACGGCUAACUACGUG